GACGAACGCUGGCGGCGCGCCUAACACAUGCAAGUCGAACGAGAGAUGAAGAGCUUGCUCUUCAAAUCGAGUGGCGAACGGGUGAGUAACGCGUGAGGAACCUGCCUCAAAGAGGGGGACAACAGUUGGAAACGGCUGCUAAUACCGCAUAAGCCCACGGCUCGGCAUCGAGCAGAGGGAAAAGGAGCAAUCCGCUUUGAGAUGGCCUCGCGUCCGAUUAGCUAGUUGGUGAGGUAACGGCCCACCAAGGCGACGAUCGGUAGCCGGACUGAGAGGUUGAACGGCCACAUUGGGACUGAGACACGGCCCAGACUCCUACGGGAGGCAGCAGUGGGGAAUAUUGCACAAUGGGCGCAAGCCUGAUGCAGCCAUGCCGCGUGUGUGAAGAAGG
This 391-nucleotide ribosomal RNA is filed under the name uncultured bacterium. RNAcentral describes it as "bacterial SSU rRNA". It matches the Rfam family "Bacterial small subunit ribosomal RNA", at positions 28 to 414 of the family's 1533-position model. The record is from RNAcentral.